CGACGGCGAGUUCUUGGAUGAUCUCAAGCUCAUGAGCCUCAAAUCAUCACCAGAUAGCACGGUGGUGGCGCUCAAGAUGCGAGCCGAUCUUGAAACUCCGGCGACCGGGGGAGGCGGAGUGGAGCAUCCAUCGGUAUGCGAAUGAGGACUGGUUCAUCACUGACAUGAGAGAGAUAGAAGGGAUUCUCUUCGCUCUGACCAGCCAGGGGACGGUGGCAAAGGUGGAGAUCGAAACAGUCCCGGAG
RNAcentral lists this long non-coding RNA (245 nucleotides) under Elaeis guineensis (African oil palm). RNAcentral describes it as "long non-coding RNA (EGUI_LNC074983)". Lineage: Eukaryota; Viridiplantae; Streptophyta; Magnoliopsida; Arecales; Arecaceae. The record is from RNAcentral.